Molecule: non-coding RNA, 207 nt
Filed under: Gemmobacter megaterium
Lineage: Bacteria; Pseudomonadati; Pseudomonadota; Alphaproteobacteria; Rhodobacterales; Paracoccaceae
Source: RNAcentral
CUAUUCAGGGCGCACUUCGGUUCCGUCCGGGCCUGCCCGGCGGAUGAAAAGGGAACGCGGUCCGGCCAUCUGGCCAAAUCCGCGGCUGCCCCCGCAACUGUAGGCGGUGAGCGACGGCCAGACACACCACUGGGGCAUCCGCCUCGGGAAGGUUGGCCCAAGCGAUGACCCGCAAGCCAGGAGACCUGCCGAGGUGAUCACCUUUCC